RNAcentral lists this non-coding RNA (21 nucleotides) under Caenorhabditis elegans. The record is from RNAcentral. Lineage: Eukaryota; Metazoa; Nematoda; Chromadorea; Rhabditida; Rhabditidae.
UUUGAAAAGCCAUAAAAGAUA